Molecule: long non-coding RNA, 377 nt
Organism: Hemicordylus capensis (graceful crag lizard)
Lineage: Eukaryota; Metazoa; Chordata; Lepidosauria; Squamata; Cordylidae
Exons: 2
Source: RefSeq, a predicted model, not a curated record
UCGGGGCUGGCGAGGGGGCCUAGGACGCAGGCGGGCGGCCAGAGUCUCGUUCUCGCGAGAACGAAAACUUUGGUCAAGAACGUCAUCACCAGAGCUGCUUGAGGGGCCCAUUCUCGCGAGACUGAGAUUUUUAGUCAAGGGGGGACCCCCCUUUUUUCUUCUGAAGGUGGCCAAUGGAGGAAAGCCCCGCCACGUUCCCUUUUGAAGCCAGAAAGGCAGGGUCACUGUGGCCAAACAAACAAAAAAACAAGCCCAACAGCCCGCUUCUCUGCAAUGUGAGAGCCAUAGUUGGAGACCUUUGUGCUGUUCUGUGUCCAGGCUGGUGUGGCCCUUUAAGAGAAAUGGAAUCUUCUCAAGCCCUGGUGCCAUCUUGGAAG